Molecule: long non-coding RNA, 914 nt
Organism: Panthera uncia (snow leopard)
Lineage: Eukaryota; Metazoa; Chordata; Mammalia; Carnivora; Felidae
Exons: 6
Source: RefSeq, a predicted model, not a curated record
GGGCUUUGUUGACUGGGAAGUGGCAUGGUGAACUUUUUGGAGAACUGGUGAUAUUCUCUAUCUCGACAGGGAUUUGGCUUACACAGAUGAACUCAUCAAAUGUAUCCUUGAUGCCCUGAUGCUUCAACUGCACAGAACCUUUCAGUCCUAAGUGGUGGGAUUCUCCAGCACUACAGCCUUUGAAGGACAACAUGAAGCACUGAAGUUCCACAAGACAGUGAGGCAUGCUGCUUAUUCUAAAAGAUCAGUGCUAAUCUAGGACUAGGUAGGGUUUGCUGCCUCCAGUAAGCUGCAUGCUCUCCACAUGCCCUUAAAGCCACCCUGCAGAAGAUCUACUGUAUGGUGUAGUGGCAAAAGAGAGUGACAGAGAAUAUACAAUUCAGAACCGGACAAGUAGUCACUGAACAGACAGAAGCCACCUACUAAUGUUCCCCUAAAGAGCUGGAGCCAUAAGUCAACCUCCACACCUCUCCGAAACAUUCCUGAAGCUGGAUGAAGCAGGGGAAAGUGCAACAGUAAGAGCUGAGGCAUGAAGUAUACCUUACAGUUUAGAAAUAUGUGAGCCUCCAUUACCGCAACUGACCUGCAAAACUACCUUUAGUAUCACUACUGAAAUGUGAGGAAGCAGAAUUUCCAGGUCACAGAACAGACAGCACUAGUCAUUCAGAGGCUGUUCUUUGGGGGUAGUUAGAAGCAGUCACAAAACACCAGUGUAGGCCUGGCUUGGGGACACUCACCAAACACUGUCCUGGCAGGGACUGAUUCUCUGUUCAGCCAAAAGGACACUUGUGACAAGAUCACGGUCAUUAUGCAGGGAAGGUAGGUCUGGAUGACAAAGUACCCGAUCUUCCGCUUCAGAUGGAAAUGAGCUGUCAUGAUUGUGUAUUCACCUGCAAAUAAACAAAUUAACUCGG